GUUUCACAGAAAAAAGUGUUAAGAAUUGUUCUUAACCACCUCAGACUCCGGAGAGUGAAGGGAGACUGAGUUAACUGUUCCAUUGGGGACUUUGACUGUCAAAGAAGGAAGGCAACUUAGAAGAGGAGCAGGCAGCCCUUGCUGCUAUCUUCACAUGGAGUGUGGACUCAAUUCGACAAGUUUGCAGGCCUGGGCCUCUUCUACCUUUUUCCCUUUGUGU
Long non-coding RNA from Trichosurus vulpecula (common brushtail), 220 nucleotides. RefSeq lists it as uncharacterized. The transcript has 3 exons. The record is from RefSeq and is a predicted model, not a curated record. Lineage: Eukaryota; Metazoa; Chordata; Mammalia; Diprotodontia; Phalangeridae.